Molecule: transfer RNA, 72 nt
Organism: Camelus ferus (Wild Bactrian camel)
Lineage: Eukaryota; Metazoa; Chordata; Mammalia; Artiodactyla; Camelidae
Rfam family: tRNA
About the family: Transfer RNA (tRNA) molecules are approximately 80 nucleotides in length. Their secondary structure includes four short double-helical elements and three loops (D, anti-codon, and T loops). Further hydrogen bonds mediate the characteristic L-shaped molecular structure. tRNAs have two regions of fundamental functional importance: the anti-codon, which is responsible for specific mRNA codon recognition, and the 3' end, to which the tRNAs corresponding amino acid is attached (by aminoacyl-tRNA synthetases). tRNAs cope with the degeneracy of the genetic code in two manners: having more than one tRNA (with a specific anti-codon) for a particular amino acid; and 'wobble' base-pairing, i.e. permitting non-standard base-pairing at the 3rd anti-codon position.
Source: Rfam
GAAGGUACAGCUCAAGUGGUAGACACAUGCUUCACAUGCAUGAGGUUCUGGGUUCAAUCCCCAGUACCUCUU